Molecule: long non-coding RNA, 348 nt
Organism: Leopardus geoffroyi (Geoffroy's cat)
Lineage: Eukaryota; Metazoa; Chordata; Mammalia; Carnivora; Felidae
Exons: 2
Source: RefSeq, a predicted model, not a curated record
AGAGAAGCUUGAAGGAAUUGAAGAAUGUUAUUACGAAACCAAGAGAUUGAAGUUAGACGGGUUGGGAGGAAUGCAUGGUAGAGACUGUUUUUGAAGGUAUAGAAAUGGAAAAGGUCAAGAGCACAACUGGAUGAAGAGGACAACCCCUAUCCCUAUUUGAUUUGAUCAGCUCUCCAGUCCCUGGGCUGGUGCCAUCCCAUAUCCUAGUGAUAUCAGCACCUCCAUUGACAUCUGGCACGAUGCCUCCAGUCUGGAACCUUACAGCCAAUCAGAGUUGAUGAUAUUGUAUUAAUGGUUCCACAAUAAAAUGAAAAAGACGGCCUUCAUUUUGAUGAAAGCUGUAAAGUA